Molecule: ribosomal RNA, 253 nt
Filed under: uncultured bacterium
Lineage: Bacteria
Description: partial 16S ribosomal RNA
Rfam family: Bacterial small subunit ribosomal RNA
Source: RNAcentral
UACAGAGGUCCCAAGCGUUGUUCGGAUUCACUGGGCGUAAAGGGUGCGUAGGUGGUUAGGUAAGUCCGAUGUGAAAUCUCCAGGCUCAACCUGGAAAUGGCAUUGGAUACUAUCUAGCUUGAGGAGUGGAGGGGGGACUGGAAUUCUCGGUGUAGCAGUGAAAUGCGUAGAGAUGUGGAGGAACACCAGUGGCGAAGGCGACUCUUUGGCCUGUAACUGACGCUGAGGCGCGAAAGCGUGGGGAGCAAACAGG